This 445-nucleotide ribosomal RNA is filed under the name uncultured bacterium. RNAcentral's name for it is "bacterial SSU rRNA". It matches the Rfam family "Bacterial small subunit ribosomal RNA", at positions 121 to 557 of the family's 1533-position model. The record is from RNAcentral.
GGAACGUGCCCAGUAAUGGGGGAUAGCCCGGCGAAAGCCGGAUUAAUACCGCAUACGACCUACGGGUGAAAGCGGKGGAUCGCAAGACCUCGCGUUAUUGGAGCGGCCGAUAUCAGAUUAGCUUGUUGGCGGGGUAAAAGCCCACCAAGGCGACGAUCUGUAGCUGGUCUGAGUAGGACGACCAGCCACACUGGGACUGAUACACGGCCCAUACUCCUACGGGAGGCAGCAGUGGGGAAUUUUGGACAAUGGGCGCAAGCCUGAUCCAGCCRUGCCGCGUGUGGGAAGAANGCCUUCGGGUUGKAAACNACUUUUGUCACGGAAGAAACGGCUCUUACUAAUAUUAGGAGCUAAUGACGGUACCUGGAAUAAUAAGCACCGGCUAACUACGUGCCAGCAGCCGCGGUDAAUACRUAGGGUGCAAGCGUWAAUCCGGAAUUACCUG